GAUGAACGCUGGCGGCGUGCCUAAUACAUGCAAGUCGAGCGAACGGACGAGAAGCUUGCUUCUCUGAUGUUAGCGGCGGACGGGUGAGUAACACGUGGAUAACCUACCUAUAAGACUGGGAUAACUUCGGGAAACCGGAGCUAAUACCGGAUGAUAUUUUGAACCGCAUGGUUCAAAAGUGAAAGACGGUCUUGCUGUCACUUAUAGAUGGAUCCGCGCUGCAUUAGCUAGUUGGUAAGGUAACGGCUUACCAAGGCAACGAUGCAUAGCCGACCUGAGAGGGUGAUCGGCCACACUGGAACUGAGGCACGGUCCAGACUCCUACGGGAGGCAGCAGUAGGGAAUCUUCCGCAAUGGGCGAAAGCCUGACGGAGCAACGCCGCGUGAGUGAUGAAGGUCUUCGGAUCGUAAAACUCUGUUAUUAGGGAAGAACAUAUGUGUAAGUAACUGUGCACAUCUUGACGGUACCUAAUCAGAAAGCCACGGCUAACUACGU
This 496-nucleotide ribosomal RNA is filed under the name uncultured bacterium. RNAcentral's name for it is "partial 16S ribosomal RNA". It matches the Rfam family "Bacterial small subunit ribosomal RNA", at positions 28 to 506 of the family's 1533-position model. The record is from RNAcentral.